GGAGGGUGCAAGCGUUGUUCGGAAUUACUGGGCGUAAAGCGCGUGUAGGCGGCUAGGCAAGUCGGAUGUGAAAGCCCGGGGCUCAACCCCGGAAAUGCAUCCGAAACUGCUCAGCUAGAGUCCCGGAGAGGAAGGCAGAAUUCCCAGUGUAGGGGUGAAAUCCGUAGAUAUUGGGAGGAAUACCAGUGGCGAAGGCGGCCUUCUGGACGGUGACUGACGCUCAGACGCGAAAGCGUGGGGAGCAAACAGGAUUAGAUACCCUGGUAGUCCACGCCGUAAACGUUGUGCACUAGGUGUCGGGGGUAUUCACUCCUCCGGUGCCGCCCGCUAACGCAUUAAGUGCACCGCCUGGGGGAGUACGGCCGCAAGGCUA
Molecule: ribosomal RNA, 373 nt
Filed under: uncultured organism
Description: partial 16S ribosomal RNA
Rfam family: Bacterial small subunit ribosomal RNA
Source: RNAcentral